Molecule: ribosomal RNA, 875 nt
Filed under: Rhodococcus (subgen. Prescottella) equi
Lineage: Bacteria; Bacillati; Actinomycetota; Actinomycetes; Mycobacteriales; Nocardiaceae
Description: Prescottella equi partial 23S ribosomal RNA
Rfam family: Bacterial large subunit ribosomal RNA
Source: RNAcentral
ACAGUGGACGCGAGCAUCUUUGUUGUAAGUGUUUAAGAGCGUACGGUGGAUGCCUUGGCACCAGGAGCCGAUGAAGGACGUAGGAGGCUGCGAUAAGCUCGGGGAGCUGUCAACCGAGCUGAGAUCCGAGGAUGUCCGAAUGGGGAAACCCAGCCACAGUGAUGUGUGGUUACCCGCGCCUGAAUAUAUAGGGCGUGUGGAGGGAACGUGGGGAAGUGAAACAUCUCAGUACCCACAGGAAGAGAAAACAACAUGUGAUUCCGUGAGUAGUGGCGAGCGAAAGCGGAAGAGGCUAAACCAUGGGUGUGUGAUAGCCGGCGGGCGUUGCAUUCGUGGGGUUGUGGGAUCCGUCUUGUCAAUUCUGCCGGAUUGGCCGACAGUGAGAAAUCAUCGUGUUAGUCGAAGUGGUCUGGAACGGCCUGUCGUAGAGGGUGAGAGUCCCGUAGACGAAAACAUGGUGACUGUCGUGACGGACACCGAGUAGCAGCGGGCCCGUGAAAUCUGCUGUGAAUCUGUCGGGACCACCCGAUAAGCCUGAAUACUCCCUGGUGACCGAUAGCGGACUAGUACCGUGAGGGAAAGGUGAAAAGUACCCCGGGAGGGGAGUGAAAUAGUACCUGAAACCGUGCGCUUACAAUCCGUCAGAGCCUGCGCCACUCGGUGGGUGGGUGAUGGCGUGCCUUUUGAAGAAUGAGCCUGCGAGUUAGCGGCAUGUCGCGAGGUUAACCCGUGUGGGGUAGCCGUAGCGAAAGCGAGUCCGAAUAGGGCGUUUUGUAGUGGCAUGUUCUAGACCCGAAGCGGAGUGAUCUACCCAUGGCCAGGGUGAAGCGACGGUAAGACGUCGUGGAGGCCCGAACCCACUUAGGUUGAAAACU